UGUGGGCGACAGAACACCGGAAGAGCGGAGAGUUCAGUGUGUUAGCAGUGAAGCUAUUCAGUUGAGUGUAACGGUGUGUUAGAGUUGCUCUUAUUUCUAAUAAACCCUGUUGAUGGUACUACAUCUGCGGUGUGUUGGCGUCAUUACAGUACUUACUUACAGUAUACCACUUUAAUAGGUAAUUACAUGAGUGAAAAGGUAAAUGUCCAAUAAAAUAUUUUUGACCCUUUCUGAAAGAACGGUAAAAAAAACAACAACAAAAAAACUGGCGUCUGUAGCUACCAGAAUUUUUUUUAUCGUUCUUUCAGAAAAACAGUAGAUUACCAUUCUUUCGAAAUAACGGUAAACUACUGGCAGAUAUUGACGGUAACCUACUGUCAGGAUUAAUUACGGUACAGCUACGGUGCAUUUAUAGUAAACUUCUGGCAUCUAUAGCUGCCAGUAUGUUACUGUAAAUUUACAGGAUUAUUUCUUAGAGUGUAUAGAGGUGAUUGAUCUACUGAGCUGCAUAGCUGCAAGAAAAUACCAAACCCUCUUAUUGUUACUGCGCAAAAAACACAAUUUAAAGUGCAGUAUUGCAUGAAGAGACACUGUGAACAUCACUAAGCAACAACUUCGUCACAGCCCCGGUUCGGGUGUAAAAGCAUAAAGUGCCCUCCCCACCUCUGUUCCCUUGCCCGCUCAAUGGCCAGUCAGAAUUUGAAGUAACAAAGGUUACCAUGGCGACUAGCAAGCAUUGGUUUCUCAGCUUUACAUAUGUGUGAUUUAUUUGCAAUGUGGACAAAGUGAAAUGGAUCUGCUGUGCUCUGACUAUUUGGUGAAAGUUUGGUGUUGAAUGAAUGACUGUCAGACUGGCAGCAGUGCUGAGGAAGCAGGAGAAGCUAAUAGUGCAGCUCUGCUCCCCCGGCCAACGCCGUCUUGUUCCGCUACUGCGUCACAUGUUUGCCUGAGGAGCAGGGGCAGCAGUAUGACGUCUUGUCUGGAGCUUAUUAUAACAAGGUAAGUUCUAUGUUAAAAUUGUCAUGUUUUUGACUAUUUUUUAUGGAGGCAUUAUUUUUCCGUUUACACAAGAGUAUCGAUUCAUAUACACAGUUUGCUUAGCGUACGUUUAUUUGUUUGGAUAUCACGGUAUAUACGACUAUUUAUUGUCUUAACCAAACAUUAAAACUGUCAGGAAAAUCUGGAGGCCAUUUGAGUUAACAUUAUUUAGCUGUGGAGGUCGUUUUCUUUCAGUUUUUGCCUGUAGACUGCUAAACGGGGGAGUGGCUGUGCUGGACCGUUGGCUUGAUCUAUGCCACAGGUGUCAAACUUCAGUCCUGGAGGGCCACUGUCCUGCAACAUGUAUUCAGGUGUGGUGCUACUGCACCACACCUUAAUACAAUAAUUAGGUGAUUAGCAGGACUCUGGAGAACUUAUCUACACAAUGAGGAGGCAAUUGAGCCAUUUGACUCUGGUAUUUUGUACCUGUGCCUUAUCUCAAAACUGCCAAAAUGUUUUUUCUUUGUUAGUGUGUCAUGUUGGUGACAAGCUUGUUAUGAUGACUUCAACACAUUUCUUCAGACAGUUUGGCACGACUUUUAAUGCCGUCCAAAAAUUCUUCUAUAAGUUGACUAAUUUCUUUAGUAAUUAUUUCUGACUUUUUUAUGCUUCAUCUUGUAAACCAGGUGGGCAGAGUAAUUUGAAUGAAUAUGAUGGUGACACACACAGGCUGGAAGUCUUCCUCCUUAAUGUUGGCGAAAACAAGAGCAGCACCAAAGACACUUCACCAUCAGUGAUCACAAGACCAUCCAUGGCCGCUUCCAAUGAAC
Molecule: non-coding RNA, 1808 nt
Organism: Poecilia reticulata (guppy)
Lineage: Eukaryota; Metazoa; Chordata; Actinopteri; Cyprinodontiformes; Poeciliidae
Source: RefSeq, a predicted model, not a curated record